UUGGAGGGCAAGUCUGGUGCCAGCAGCCGCGGUAAUUCCAGCUCCAAUAGCGUAUAUUAAAGUUGUUGCAGUUAAAAAGCUCGUAGUUGAAUUUCGGGACUGACAGGUUGGUCGCGCCUUCGGUGUGUACUGGUCUAGUCGGUUUCUCACCUUCUGACGAACCACGAUGCCAUUAAUUUGGUGUUGCGGGGAAUUUGGACUGUUACUUUGAAAAAAUUAGAGUGUUUAAAGCAGGCUAACGCUUGAAUACAUUAGCAUGGAAUAAUGAAAUAGGACGUUCGAUCUUAUUUUGUUGGUUUCUAGGAUUGACGUAAUGAUUAAUAGGGAUAGUUGGGGGCAUUAGUAUUCAAUUGUCAGAGGUGAAAUUCUUGGAUUUAUUGAAGACUAACUACUGCGAAAGCAUUUGCCCCGGAUGUUUUCAUUAAUCAAGAACGAAAGUUAGGGGAUCGAAGACGAUCAGAUACCGUCUUAGUCUUAACCAAAAACUAUGCCGACUAGGGAUCGGAUGAGGUUAAUUUUUUAAUGACUCAUUCGGCGCCUUACGGGAAAC
RNAcentral lists this ribosomal RNA (550 nucleotides) under uncultured Glomus. Its description in RNAcentral is "SSU rRNA". It matches the Rfam family "Eukaryotic small subunit ribosomal RNA", at positions 548 to 1098 of the family's 1831-position model. Lineage: Eukaryota; Fungi; Glomeromycota; Glomeromycetes; Glomerales; Glomeraceae. The record is from RNAcentral.